AGUGAACGCUGGCGGCAUGCCUUACACAUGCAAGUCGAACGGUAGCACAAGAAGAGUUGCCCUCUAGGGGCGGCCAGUGGUGUAUGGCAGCGGAAUGCACCGGAACCUUGGUGAUCACGGCUCACAACGUUAGCCAACACCCCCUACCACCUAAUACGGCAAACGGGUGAACGCAAGGCAUCUCCGGAUUUUGCCCGCCUGUGUGAGACGAUGUAGGAUGUGCUAGUUAGGGGGGUAAAGGCACACCAAGGCAACGAUCCGUAGCUGCUCUGAGAGGAUAACCAGCCACACUGGCACUGAGACACGGCCCAGACUCCUACGGGAGGCAGCAGUGGGGAAUCUUGGACAAUGGGCGCAAGCCCGAUCCAGCCAUACCGCGUGUAUGACGAAGGCCUUCGGGUUGUAAACCGCUUUUGUAUGGAAAGAAAAGGAUCUGGUUAAUACCUGGAGGUUAUGACGGUACCCAAAGAAUAAGCCACGGCUAACUACGUG
This 492-nucleotide ribosomal RNA is filed under the name uncultured bacterium. Its description in RNAcentral is "partial 16S ribosomal RNA". It matches the Rfam family "Bacterial small subunit ribosomal RNA", at positions 29 to 507 of the family's 1533-position model. The record is from RNAcentral.